AUGCUACUCACCGUACCAUUAUUGAUCUUAUGGAUACAGCUGUCACAGCUGAAUGGACAAGAGGUAAAGCAAAUUCCUCAGUUCCUGCACAUACAGGAAGGAGAGGACUUCAGCACAUACUGCAAUUCCACAAGCACUUUAAACACUGUACAGUGGUAUAAGCAGCGGCCCGGGGGAAGCCCUGUCCUCCUGAUGAUAUUAGUGAAGAGUGGAGAAGUGAAGAAGGAGAAAAGACUGACAGCUCAGUUUGGAGAAACAAGAAAGGACAGCUCCCUGCACAUCACAGCCGCCCAGACUGCAGAUGUGGGGACCUACUUCUGCGCAGUGGCACAGUGCUCCCCAAGCACCUGUUGCCUGUCCCCAAACCUUGCCCUGGGACCUAGGAGCAGCCCCUCUCACUCUCUCCUCAGAGCAGGAGCCAGAGAAAGUUGA
Propithecus coquereli (Coquerel's sifaka) is the source of this 432-nucleotide non-coding RNA. Lineage: Eukaryota; Metazoa; Chordata; Mammalia; Primates; Indriidae. The record is from the annotation of a RefSeq genome assembly.